AAAUUGAAGAGUUUGAUCAUGGCUCAGAUUGAACGCUGGCGGCAGGCCUAACACAUGCAAGUCGAACGGUAACAGGAAGCAGCUUGCUGCUUCGCUGACGAGUGGCGGACGGGUGAGUAAUGUCUGGGAAACUGCCUGAUGGAGGGGGAUAACUACUGGAAACGGUGGCUAAUACCGCAUAACGUCGCAAGACCAAAGAGGGGGACCUUCGGGCCUCUUGCCAUCAGAUGUGCCCAGAUGGGAUUAGCUUGUUGGUGAGGUAACGGCUCACCAAGGCGACGAUCCCUAGCUGGUCUGAGAGGAUGACCAGCCACACUGGAACUGAGACACGGUCCAGACUCCUACGGGAGGCAGCAGUGGGGAAUAUUGCACAAUGGGCGCAAGCCUGAUGCAGCCAUGCCGCGUGUAUGAAGAAGGCCUUCGGGUUGUAAAGUACUUUCAGCGGGGAGGAAGGUGUUGUGGUUAAUAACCACAGCAAUUGACGUUACCCGCAGAAGAAGCACCGGCUAACUCCGUGCCAGCAGCCGCGGUAAUACGGAGGGUGCAAGCGUUAAUCGGAAUUACUGGGCGUAAAGCGCACGCAGGCGGUCUGUCAAGUCGGAUGUGAAAUCCCCGGGCUCAACCUGGGAACUGCAUUCGAAACUGGCAGGCUUGAGUCUUGUAGAGGGGGGUAGAAUUCCAGGUGUAGCGGUGAAAUGCGUAGAGAUCUGGAGGAAUACCGGUGGCGAAGGCGGCCCCCUGGACAAAGACUGACGCUCAGGUGCGAAAGCGUGGGGAGCAAACAGGAUUAGAUACCCUGGUAGUCCACGCCGUAAACGAUGUCUACUUGGAGGUUGUGCCCUUGAGGCGUGGCUUCCGGAGCUAACGCGUUAAGUAGACCGCCUGGGGAGUACGGCCGCAAGGUUAAAACUCAAAUGAAUUGACGGGGGCCCGCACAAGCGGUGGAGCAUGUGGUUUAAUUCGAUGCAACGCGAAGAACCUUACCUGGUCUUGACAUCCACAGAACUUUCCAGAGAUGGAUUGGUGCCUUCGGGAACUGUGAGACAGGUGCUGCAUGGCUGUCGUCAGCUCGUGUUGUGA
Molecule: ribosomal RNA, 1080 nt
Filed under: Salmonella enterica
Lineage: Bacteria; Pseudomonadati; Pseudomonadota; Gammaproteobacteria; Enterobacterales; Enterobacteriaceae
Description: bacterial SSU rRNA
Rfam family: Bacterial small subunit ribosomal RNA
Source: RNAcentral